This 492-nucleotide ribosomal RNA is filed under the name uncultured bacterium. RNAcentral describes it as "partial 16S ribosomal RNA". It matches the Rfam family "Bacterial small subunit ribosomal RNA", at positions 29 to 507 of the family's 1533-position model. The record is from RNAcentral.
AGUGAACGCUGGCGGUAGGCCUAACACAUGCAAGUCGAACGGCAGCACAGUAAGAGCUUGCUCUUACGGGUGGCGAGUGGCGGACGGGUGAGGAAUACAUCGGAAUCUACUUUUUCGUGGGGGAUAACGUAGGGAAACUUACGCUAAUACCGCAUACGACCUACGGGUGAAAGCAGGGGAUCUUCGGACCUUGCGCGAUUGAAUGAGCCGAUGUCGGAUUAGCUAGUUGGCGGGGUAAAGGCCCACCAAGGCGACGAUCCGUAGCUGGUCUGAGAGGAUGAUCAGCCACACUGGAACUGAGAAACGGUCCAGACUCCUCCGGGAGGCAGCAGUGGGGAAUAUUGGACCAUGGGCGCAAGCCUGAUCCAGCCAUACCGCGUGGGUGUAGAAGGCCUUCGGGUUGUAAAGCCCUUUUGUUGGGAAAGAAAAGCAGCAGGUUAAUACCCCGCUGUUCUGACGGUACCCAAAGAAUAAGCACCGGCUAACUUCGUG